This is a long non-coding RNA of Melitaea cinxia (Glanville fritillary), 719 nucleotides long. RefSeq lists it as uncharacterized. NCBI's taxonomy places the organism in Eukaryota, Metazoa, Arthropoda, Insecta, Lepidoptera, Nymphalidae. The record is from RefSeq and is a predicted model, not a curated record. The transcript has 3 exons.
CUCACACAGCACACGGACUCCUAGACUCAUUUCCCCCACAAGUCGCAGUUAUUGACCCGCCUAUACUCCGGGACACCGGCGCGCGCAGUCUAGAAACUCCCUAGCCUAGACUCAAGAUGCCGGCUCCGUGUGAAUCUUGUAAAUCCACGUGCAGCAGCGGUUCUGCCAAUUGCGGCAGUGGCUGCACUUGCGGUCCGAACUGCGCAUGCGGAGAUGGAAAGCCCUCAGGUGGCAAGCCCUGCUGCCAGGGCAAGUAAAAGCUCCCUUUCUUGAAAAAAAUUCUUCAGCUAUGAAGAUUCUAUCAUAUAUUUAAAAUAUUCAUUCAAAAUUAUUAUUUAGAACUUAGUUAAAGUACCUUUAGAUUAGCAAACAUGGUUAACAAACGGAUUAUGGUUAAGUUAAAGUUUAUAACUAUAUUUUAUAAAACUAAAUAUUAAUAUUGUGCUGUCAUGAAAUAAAUACUGAUGUUAGGAUAAUGCUAAUAACUCUUAAAGUAUUAAAAUAUAUUAUUAAGUUAUUUAGUACGUAGUAGCUUAUUGUCUUAUUGUUAGUAUAGAAGUGGAUUAUAGUUUUAUCACAUUCAGUGUUUUUAAUAUAUUUGUCAUAAGAAGGGUCUUUAGUACUGCAAUACUCAUUAAUGUAAGGCUAUGUAUGAGCGCACGCACACAAGCAUAAAUGUUCUGUAGUGUGUUAUAGUUUAAUAAAUAUACGUAAUUUAA